GUGUCAGCCGCCGCGGUAAUACGAAGGGGGCUAGCGUUGCUCGGAAUUACUGGGCGUAAAGGGAGCGUAGGCGGACAUUUAAGUCAGGGGUGAAAUCCCGGGGCUCAACCUCGGAAUUGCCUUUGAUACUGGGUGUCUUGAGUAUGAGAGAGGUGUGUGGAACUCCGAGUGUAGAGGUGAAAUUCGUAGAUAUUCGGAAGAACACCAGUGGCGAAGGCGACACACUGGCUCAUUACUGACGCUGAGGCUCGAAAGCGUGGGGAGCAAACAGGAUUAGAUACCCCCGUAGUCC
This 292-nucleotide ribosomal RNA is filed under the name uncultured prokaryote. RNAcentral's name for it is "partial 16S ribosomal RNA". It matches the Rfam family "Bacterial small subunit ribosomal RNA", at positions 505 to 796 of the family's 1533-position model. The record is from RNAcentral.